This 253-nucleotide ribosomal RNA is filed under the name uncultured bacterium. Its description in RNAcentral is "partial 16S ribosomal RNA". It matches the Rfam family "Bacterial small subunit ribosomal RNA", at positions 524 to 776 of the family's 1533-position model. The record is from RNAcentral.
UACGGAGGAUGCGAGCGUUAUCCGGAUUUACUGGGUGUAAAGGGAGCGUAGACGGCAGAGCAAGUCCGGAGUGAAAGCCCGGGGCUCAACCCUGGGACUGCUCUGGAAACUGUAAAGCUGGAGUGCGGGAGGGGCAGGCGGAAUGCGUGGUGUAGCGGUGAAAUGCAUAGAUAUCACGCAGAACUCCGAUUGCGAAGGCAGCUUACUAAGCCAUAACUGACACUGAAGCACGAAAGCGUGGGGAUCAAACAGG